GAUGAACGCUGGCGGCGUGCCUAAUACAUGCAAGUCGAGCGAACAGACGAGGAGCUUGCUCCUCUGACGUUAGCGGCGGACGGGUGAGUAACACGUGGAUAACCUACCUAUAAGACUGGGAUAACUUCGGGAAACCGGAGCUAAUACCGGAUAAUAUAUUGAACCGCAUGGUUCAAUAGUGAAAGACGGUUUUGCUGUCACUUAUAGAUGGAUCCGCGCCGCAUUAGCAAGUUGGUAGGGUAACGGCUUACCAAGGCAACGACGGGUAGCCGACCUGAGAGGGUGACCGGCCACAUUGGGACUGAGAUACGGCCCAGACUCCUACGGGAGGCAGAAGUGGGGAAUAUUGCACAAUGGGCGGAAGCCAGAUGCAGCAACGCCGCGUGCGUGAUGACGUCCUUCGGGUUGUAAACCGCUUUCGCCUGUGACGAAGCGUGAGUGACGGUAAGGGGUAAAGAAGCACCGGCUAACUACGUG
This 477-nucleotide ribosomal RNA is filed under the name uncultured bacterium. RNAcentral describes it as "partial 16S ribosomal RNA". It matches the Rfam family "Bacterial small subunit ribosomal RNA", at positions 28 to 507 of the family's 1533-position model. The record is from RNAcentral.